GCUUUUCCUCACUUCUCUUCCAUUGCGAAUCAUGGCCUGUGGCUGACCACCUGUGCAACCUUGGGAAGGUCAACUUUUCUAAAGCUCAGUUUCUUUCAGCAGUAAAGUAGGGUCAGUAAUAUAGGCACUGGGGACACCAGGGUUGAACAGAAGAGGCAUCUCUGAUUAUGUUUUGUGGUGAGAUGGUAGGAAGAGACAGAUGUAAUCAGGGAAAGAAACAAAUGAACAAGGAUCUCACGCAGUGGUAACGUUACAGAGAAAAUAAAACAGGGACAACUUGUCAAGGACAUAAACAGAGAUCUCACUGAACAGAGAGAGCGCCUAUGGUUGUGGAUGGACAGAUCAAUAGUGUAGAGAAGAAAGUUCUCCUCAAAUUAAUCUAAAAUUCAAUGUAACACCAAUCAAAAGUCCAGAUGGAUUUCUUUUGUAGAACUCAGCAACUUCAUUCUAAAAUUUAUAAGGGUGAGUAAAAGUUCACGGAUUGCUAAGUCAGUUUUUUGGUGGGGGAGAGCAAAGAAAGCGGCUUGCCCUAUGACAAAUAUUUUUUAAUUAUGAUUUUACCACAGGAACAAAUAAAUGGACCAAUGGAUCAUAGUGAACAGUUCAAAAGAAGACCCAUGAAUUUAUGGAAAUGUGAAAUAUGACAAGGGUGGCAUCAUAAAUCGAUGGGACAAUGGAUGGUGAUACGGAAACUAGCUCACUAUAUGGAGCAAAGAAAACUGGACCUCUGCCUUGUGAUGAAGAUGAGCUCUAGAUGGAUUAAAAACCUAAACAGGAGAGGAGCAAUUCCCAGCAGGCCUGUUCCAGAGCGGCAAGUGUGAAAUGCAGCCUUCACGGUGGAUUACAGGCCUAAAGGAGGCCUGUCACCUCCAGGCGCGCAGGAGAGAGCGGGGUUAAUUCUGUUUCUCCCUGGGAGAAUUCCUUUCUGUGUCCAGCCCGUGGCCUGAGCAACACUUCCUGUCGCCACUGCCCAGUUUCCGUGACU
Molecule: long non-coding RNA, 985 nt
Filed under: Equus caballus (horse)
Lineage: Eukaryota; Metazoa; Chordata; Mammalia; Perissodactyla; Equidae
Description: lncRNA (ENSECAG00000060233.1)
Source: RNAcentral